CAAAAUCAUUGCUUAUUUUUGCCAGAAGAUUUGAUUUUGACUUUUCGAUAAUUCUACAGGCAAUGCAAUUUGUGGACAAGCCCAUGAAACCCAAAGGUGAAAAAGGGAAACAGGUUUACACAGACAGCCCUUCCUGCCACGUCUGCAGACAUUCCUGCUGGAAUCUAAUCACCUUUGUCUUUAACCAGGCUUCCUGCCCACAUCUUACCAGCAAAGUUUGCUUUACUUUCCUGAGGAUACGCACGUGCACCCUGGAUCUCAUCUCCACAUGCAGGGUGGUGGG
Molecule: long non-coding RNA, 283 nt
Organism: Pan paniscus (pygmy chimpanzee)
Lineage: Eukaryota; Metazoa; Chordata; Mammalia; Primates; Hominidae
Source: Ensembl